AUGAAUAAACUUGGUCAAGCUGUUGCUGGUUCUUCGGAACAUGUGCACGCUUGCCACCAAUUUUAACCACCUGUGCACCUUUUGUAGACUGGAAACGUUUCUCGAGGCAACUCGGAUUGAGAACUGCUGCGCGCAAGCUGGCUGUUCUUGUGUUUCUCAGUCUAUGUUUUCAUAUACUCCUAAUGUAUGUCUCUGAAUGUAUUGCUAGGCCUUAGUGCCUUUAAAAACAAAUA
This 233-nucleotide unclassified non-coding RNA is filed under the name uncultured Clitopilus. RNAcentral's name for it is "sequence contains ITS1". The record is from RNAcentral. Lineage: Eukaryota; Fungi; Basidiomycota; Agaricomycetes; Agaricales; Entolomataceae.